GAUGAACGCUGGCGGCGUGCUUAACACAUGCAAGUCGAACGAAGCACUUCAAUCGAUUUCUUCGGAAUGAAGUUUUAGUGACUGAGUGGCGGACGGGUGAGUAACGCGUGGGUAACCUGCCUCACACAGGGGGAUAACAGUUGGAAACGGCUGCUAAUACCGCAUAAGCGCACAGUACCGCAUGGUACAGUGCGAAAAAACUCCGGUGGUGUGAGAUGGACCCGCGUCUGAUUAGCUAGUUGGCAGGGCAACGGCCUACCAAGGCGACGAUCAGUAGCCGACCUGAGAGGGUGACCGGCCACAUUGGGACUGAGACACGGCCCAAAAUCCUACGGAGCAGCAGUGGGGAUAUUGCACAAUGGGGGAAACCCUGAUGCAGCGACGCCGCGUGAGCGAAGAAGUAUUCGGUAUGUAAAGCUCUAUCAGCAGGAAGAGAAAAUGACGGUAACCUGACUAAGAAGCA
Molecule: ribosomal RNA, 463 nt
Filed under: uncultured bacterium
Lineage: Bacteria
Description: bacterial SSU rRNA
Rfam family: Bacterial small subunit ribosomal RNA
Source: RNAcentral